Molecule: non-coding RNA, 172 nt
Filed under: Caballeronia glathei
Lineage: Bacteria; Pseudomonadati; Pseudomonadota; Betaproteobacteria; Burkholderiales; Burkholderiaceae
Description: Burkholderia glathei Manganese sequence
Rfam family: Manganese Mn2+ riboswitch aptamer (yybP-ykoY) (bases 1-127)
About the family: This RNA was originally discovered in E. coli during a large scale screen and was named SraF. The family was later found to exist upstream of related families of protein genes in many bacteria, including the the yybP and ykoK genes in B. subtilis.
Source: RNAcentral
CGCUCCGUCCUUGGGGAGUAGCCGGCUUCCAUUUGCUGGAAGCGCUCAUGUCAACACGCUUGGUUCGAUCGAACCGUGGCAUGAGCAACCACGUUGCUUUUUGGUUUUUUGGUUGGCAAGACCAUCGAUGUAUCGGGGAGACCGGUCGGGCUCGCCGCUGCAUCGCAUGUUC